RNAcentral lists this transfer RNA (72 nucleotides) under Candidatus Taylorbacteria bacterium RIFCSPHIGHO2_01_FULL_48_38. Its description in RNAcentral is "tRNA-Arg". It matches the Rfam family "tRNA". Rfam says of the family: Transfer RNA (tRNA) molecules are approximately 80 nucleotides in length. Their secondary structure includes four short double-helical elements and three loops (D, anti-codon, and T loops). RNAcentral also lists the same sequence under 4 other names. Lineage: Bacteria; Candidatus Tayloriibacteriota. The record is from RNAcentral.
CCUCCUAUAGUUCAAUAGAUAGAACAUCCCCGUCCUAAGGGGAAGAUGUGGGUGCAAUUCCUGCUAGGGGGA